UUAAUAGAAGUAAAACUUGUAUAAUAGUUGUGAUAAGGACAACGAGUUUCUACCUGCCUCCGUAAAUUGGCAGACUACAAGGACAAGAUGA
This 91-nucleotide non-coding RNA is filed under the name fish gut metagenome. RNAcentral describes it as "Purine riboswitch". The stretch from base 16 to 81 matches the Rfam family "Purine riboswitch aptamer", at positions 20 to 86 of the family's 102-position model. From Rfam's summary of the family: Riboswitches are metabolite binding domains within certain messenger RNAs that serve as precision sensors for their corresponding targets. Allosteric rearrangement of mRNA structure is mediated by ligand binding, and this results in modulation of gene expression. The record is from RNAcentral.